AUCUUUGCUCUAUUUUGAAUAGCAUUUAGAUAAGGAGAUAUGAAAAUAAAUCUUCGCAGGUUUGCAUGAUUUACUCCUUUCUACCUGUUCGAUGAAAUGUCCCUGUGUUUCACUUUUAUCUCGUUGUUAUGUUUUUUUAUUUCUCCGCCAUCUUUUUUCAUUCCUAUGUUUUUGCUCUUAUUUGUGUGUGUGUGUAUUUUGAUUGAUCGGUGGGUGUGUAUUUUUGCAGGGGUGAUAUCUGGAGCUCUUUUGUAUAUAAGGGAUGAAUUCCUAGCUGUAGAUAGAAAGACUUGGCUUCACGUUACAAGUCUCGUAUCUCUGUUUUUUUCUAGAUAUUGAUCACAUGCAUGUUUCUGUUAAAUAUUUUAAUUGUUAUGAAAUCAUAUGGAUAUUAGUUUCGGUUUUAUUUUAUUUGAUUGAAUUUGAUGAACCUGCAG
RNAcentral lists this long non-coding RNA (437 nucleotides) under Glycine max (soybean). RNAcentral describes it as "long non-coding RNA (GMAX_LNC004115)". Lineage: Eukaryota; Viridiplantae; Streptophyta; Magnoliopsida; Fabales; Fabaceae. The record is from RNAcentral.